GUUUGGUCCUAGCCUUACUGUCAACUCUUACUUAACUUACACAUGCAAGUAUCCGCAUACCCGUGAAAACGCCCUUAACACCUUUUUAGGAUAAGGAGCCGGUAUCAGGCACAGCCUCCUUGCCCACAACACCUAGCUUCGCCACACCCCCAAGGGUAUUCAGCAGUGAUAAACAUUGUUAAUAAGCGCCAGCUUGAUUCAGUUAAAGUAAAUAGAGCCGGCCAACCCGGUGCCAGCCGCCGCGGCUAUCCCGUCGGGCCCAAGUUGACAGGUAACGGCGUUAAGCGUGUUUUAAGUACCCUAAACAAUUAGAAUUUAAUUUUAACCAAGUUGUGAUAUACUUGUUACCAAGAAAAACAAAAACGAAAGUUAUUCUAAUACAACCACUUGAAUCCACGACAGCUAGGACACAAACUGGGAUUAGGUACCCCACUAUGCCUAGCCGUAAAAUAUUUAUUUACAUCCUUAACCACCAGGGAAUUACGAGCCCAAGCUUAAAACCCAAAGGACUUGACGGUGCCCCACCCACCUAGAGGAGCCUGUUCUAUAAUCGAUUUUCCCCGAUAUACCCAACCACUUUUAGACCAUCAGCCUGUAUACCUCCGUCGUAAGCUUACCAUAUGAACGUAAAAUAGUGAGCUAAAAGAUCUUAAAUCAAUACGUCAGGUCAAGGUGCAGCCCACAAAGCGGAAAGAAAUGGGCUACAAUUUCUAACUUAGAACACACGAAAGACUGUAUGAAACACAGCCAUGAAGGCGGAUUUAGCAGUAAAAAGAAAAUAGAGAGUUCUUUUUAAUUAGGCACUGGGACGCGUACACACCGCCCGUCACCCUCUUCAAAUGCCCAGCCAAGUUUAUAACACAAUUUUGCACUAUAGAAGAGGUAAGUCGUAACACGGUAAGCGUACUGGAAAGUGCCCUUGGAUUU
Molecule: non-coding RNA, 927 nt
Filed under: Metaphrynella pollicaris (Malaysian treefrog)
Lineage: Eukaryota; Metazoa; Chordata; Amphibia; Anura; Microhylidae
Description: 12S ribosomal RNA
Rfam family: Bacterial small subunit ribosomal RNA
Source: RNAcentral